UCCUCGGUAGCUCAACGGUAGAGCAGGCGGCUGUUAACCGCAAGGUUACAGGUUCGAAUCCUGUCCGAGGAGCCA
This 75-nucleotide transfer RNA is filed under the name Ktedonobacterales bacterium. RNAcentral describes it as "tRNA-Asn". It matches the Rfam family "tRNA". From Rfam's summary of the family: Transfer RNA (tRNA) molecules are approximately 80 nucleotides in length. Their secondary structure includes four short double-helical elements and three loops (D, anti-codon, and T loops). Lineage: Bacteria; Bacillati; Chloroflexota; Ktedonobacteria; Ktedonobacterales. RNAcentral also lists the same sequence under 1 other name. The record is from RNAcentral.